RNAcentral lists this long non-coding RNA (1003 nucleotides) under Homo sapiens (human). Its description in RNAcentral is "HSALNT0394892". Lineage: Eukaryota; Metazoa; Chordata; Mammalia; Primates; Hominidae. The record is from RNAcentral.
AUAAAGACAUUCAGGCAGCUGAUGGAGAUACUGACCUGAUGUUGAGCUAUGGCUUCCUACCAUUAACAAGCAUUAACCUGACAAGGAUGUGAGUGAGACACCUUGGAAGUCCAUCCUCCAGUCCCAGUCAAGUCUUUAGAUGACUACAGCCUCAGCUGAGAAUCUGAGCAUAAUAUCAUGAGAGUCUUGAAGCUAGAAAUACUCAGCCAAGCUGCUUCUGAAUUCCUAACUCACAAAAACUAGUGCGACUAAAUGCAUGUAUUGAAACCUGGAUCUAAUGCGAUCGUGAAGAUAUCGUUUUACUAAUCUUUUAUUUAUGUCCCACACUUGGUAGGGCACACUUCAGAGAAAGCAAUAAACAUUAUCUGUUAAUUAUUGAGUUGCCAGAAUUUUUCAUUUUUAGGAAUAUAAGAUUUGUAGACAUCCUAAAGAAAAAUAAAUUAAUAAAACUUUUCCAAAUUAGCCAGAUGACACAUUAAAACUGAGAAUAAAAAACAAAGCCAAAAGUUGAUGUUUGUUUGGUUACAUUCUGAUCACAGACACUUGAAACCUUUGCUCUAUGUAAAACAUUGAAAAUAAGUGAAAAGAUAGCUACAUGUUUUUAUUAAGCUAUCUGCACACCCCUCCCCACCUAUGAGAAUUUCCUAGUAUUAUACAAGUGUGAAGAUUCACACUUAGCCCAGCAUAGAAGAGAGAAUGAUUGUGAUUAUCUGUCAUUGUUAAAGCUUUCAGUGUUCAAUUACCAUGAAGUAUAUGUACGGAAUCCCACUGAGUAACUAACUCUAAGACACUGUUAGAUCUGUAAAAUGUUACCCAUUCAAAUGGGUUAUUUUCACAAUGUAGUAAUGAGCACAUGGAAGACAUACUCACUUGUUGAAGUGAUGUUGGGCUAUGUGAUCUACUGCAGUCAUAGUACCUUUACAUUUUGACUCAAAUUGUUUUAUCACUUGGAAUUUUUUCUUUUUUAAAAAUAAGUUUCCAAUAUGCUAUGUAGGAAGAUGAU